Molecule: ribosomal RNA, 253 nt
Filed under: uncultured bacterium
Lineage: Bacteria
Description: partial 16S ribosomal RNA
Rfam family: Bacterial small subunit ribosomal RNA
Source: RNAcentral
UACGUAGGGGGCAAGCGUUGUCCGGAUUUAUUGGGCGUAAAGAGCGUGUAGGCGGCCAAACAGGUCAGCUGUGAAAACUCGAGGCUCAACCUCGAGACGUCGGUUGAAACCGUACGGCUAGAGUCCGGAAGAGGAGAGUGGAAUUCCCGGUGUAGCGGUGAAAUGCGCAGAUAUCGGGAAGAACACCCGUGGCGAAGGCGGCUCUCUGGGACGGUACUGACGCUGAGACGCGAAAGCGUGGGGAGCGAACAGG